AUUGAACGCUGGCGGCAGGCCUAACACAUGCAAGUCGAACGGUAACAGGAAGAAGCUUGCUUCUUUGCUGACGAGUGGCGGACGGGUGAGUAAUGUCUGGGAAACUGCCUGAUGGAGGGGGAUAACUACUGGAAACGGUAGCUAAUACCGCAUAAUGUCGCAAGACCAAAGAGGGGGACCUUCGGGCCUCUUGCCAUCGGAUGUGCCCAGAUGGGAUUAGCUAGUAGGUGGGGUAACGGCUCACCUAGGCGACGAUCCCUAGCUGGUCUGAGAGGAUGACCAGCCACACUGGAACUGAGACACGGUCCAGACUCCUACGGGAGGCGGCAGUGGGGAAUAUUGCACAAUGGGCGCAAGCCUGAUGCAGCUAUGCCGCGUGUAUGAAGAAGGCCUUCGGGUUGUAAAGUACUUUCAGCGGGGAGGAAGGGAGUAAAGUUAAUACCUUUGCUCAUUGACGUUACCCGCAGAAGAAGCACCGGCUAACUCCGUG
Molecule: ribosomal RNA, 490 nt
Filed under: uncultured bacterium
Lineage: Bacteria
Description: partial 16S ribosomal RNA
Rfam family: Bacterial small subunit ribosomal RNA
Source: RNAcentral